Long non-coding RNA from Homo sapiens (human), 1368 nucleotides. Ensembl annotates it as ZRANB2 divergent transcript. Its record names the gene ZRANB2-DT. NCBI's taxonomy places the organism in Eukaryota, Metazoa, Chordata, Mammalia, Primates, Hominidae. The record is from Ensembl.
GGAGGCGGAAGUGACUGAUCAAUUCAGGGGCGUGGGGUUCGUUUAGGUUUUGCCCUGUGUAUGACCUCGUUUGGAGCCAUGAAACCAGGUGGCUUUUCUACAAUAUAAAGAUGGAAAUGGGAAGAAGAUGUUCAUUGCAAAUUAAGGAAGCUCUUCCACGAGUUCACGAAUGGAAAUAACAUCAAGAGUUUUUCAUCUUCUUAGUGUGCAAGGUAUGGAUAUUCUGUGUGUGAACUUCAAGAGUAUCUAAGGGAGGCAAUAACAUGGUUGAUAAUAUACCAGAGACUACAAACUGUCUGUGCAUCCCAGAGGAACAGGAAGCUUGUGCAGGUGAAAAGACUGGAGGAGGAAGUAUGUUGAUGAUACCCAGGAAGCCCACCUUCCACUUCUUUGGUCAUCAGAAAUGUCUGAGGAAUAGUCUUAGUGGAUUAUCCCAAACUUGACACAUUUUUUGCAAAAUGCUAUACAAAAAGAAGAUACAUGCGAUUAUGACAAGAUUCUCCACUUGGUGUGACCAGUCUCAUACAACCCAAGGCUGUGUGUCCAAAGGCAACUGUACUGCACAUGACAGAAUUGCUCUGUUGAAGUUUUGCAAGGUCAAAUGACUCACUUUGUCUAAUGGAACGGGAACGAACAAUUUUUUUGUGUCACGUUUGAACAGAUACCUUUGAGAAGUUUAUGAUUCUCCAAGUUCUCUUUCUCCUACUGUGGCACCUACUGACAAGAUAAAUGUGUAGAGGUUCCUGAGUCUAGGGGUGAGUCUUGCAUAUCUGAUGAAUCCACCAGUAAAAGUACCACUGCUGAAAUCACGCAAAUAUAUUUUUUUAGACCUUAUCAACCUUGGCAUGGAAUUAGAUGAGCAAAAAGCUGAGUUGAAUUGAUGAAAAGAAUCCCAAGUCAUUAAUUACUAAUGAUGGAGCUUGUAAAGUACAGCAUCACUGGGGAAAGCAACUGACUUUCCUCAUACACAUUAUAUUUUUAUCUGAAUUUCAAUACUGCUUAAAUAUGUACUUCAUUACAGGGCACAACUAAAAUAGAAGGGCACCUGCUAAGUCAGAGCCAUAAAACAGAUCUACAGCCUGCUGGCAUGUGAAAUUUCUCUAAUUUAUAUUUUUUAUGAAACUACCCUCACAUUAUGUGGUUGGCAGCAUAAAUAAUAAAGCAUGUUACUGAAGCAAUUUUACAUUUACUGUAUUAGUAAGUAAAUGCAAUGGCCACUCUUAUUCUCAAAUAAAAACUACCCAGCCUUUUCAUGAAAGAUGUUUGCAAUUUCCAUUGGCCUGUAUAUGCAAUAAAAAGCCAUAACUCAUCAAAAUUUCAGCUAUUUUCUCUUAAGAUAGAAGAGCAUUUUGCUUGAACAUUGAACGU